This is a long non-coding RNA of Xenopus tropicalis (tropical clawed frog), 318 nucleotides long. RefSeq lists it as uncharacterized. The record is from RefSeq and is a predicted model, not a curated record. Lineage: Eukaryota; Metazoa; Chordata; Amphibia; Anura; Pipidae. The transcript has 2 exons.
AGUGAGACAGAGCGAGAUAGGGAUCAGAGAUGUAUGGGUUCCAUUGACAGCUGCUGAACAAGCCUAAGCUGCAGAAACAUGAGAAUCGGCCUCUGGCUCGAUCAACAUUUCACAGGGGGCUAAGUAAUAUUUAAAACCAAUUUAGCCCAUGCAGCAAAAGCCGAAGAUUGUAUCCCUCUCCUUUAUAAGAUGCUGAUGGGCAGCUGGAGCUCUGUACAGACCCACUUACGAACGGCAACAGAUUGCCGAAUGCCGUAUGUCGCUCUUCAAUAUAUUCUUCUCGUAGAUGGAAAGAGAUUAAACUUCCUGCAGAUUCCA